UACGGGGGGGGCGAGCGUUGUUCGGAAUCACUGGGCGUAAAGGGUGCGUAGGAGGGCAGGUAAGUCAGUGGUGAAAUCUUUGGGCUUAACCCGAAAACUGCCGUUGAUACUAUCUGUCUUGAAUAUGGUGGAGGUGAGCGGAAUAUGUCAUGUAGCGGUGAAAUGCUUAGAUAUGACAUAGAACACCGAUUGCGAAGGCAGCUCGCUACACCUAUAUUGACUCUGAGGCACGAAAGCGUGGGGAUCAAACAGG
Molecule: ribosomal RNA, 253 nt
Filed under: uncultured bacterium
Lineage: Bacteria
Description: partial 16S ribosomal RNA
Rfam family: Bacterial small subunit ribosomal RNA
Source: RNAcentral